This 164-nucleotide ribosomal RNA is filed under the name Eustachys paspaloides. RNAcentral describes it as "5.8S ribosomal RNA". It matches the Rfam family "5.8S ribosomal RNA". From Rfam's summary of the family: 5.8S ribosomal RNA (5.8S rRNA) is a component of the large subunit of the eukaryotic ribosome. It is transcribed by RNA polymerase I as part of the 45S precursor that also contains 18S and 28S rRNA. The record is from RNAcentral. Lineage: Eukaryota; Viridiplantae; Streptophyta; Magnoliopsida; Poales; Poaceae.
CACAUGACUCUUGGCAACGGAUAUCUCGGCUCUUGCAUCGAUGAAGAACGUAGCAAAAUGCGAUACCUGGUGUGAAUUGCAGAAUCCCGUGAACCAUCGAGUUUUUGAACGCAAGUUGCGCCCGAGGCCUUUUGGUCGAGGGCACGUCUGCCUGGGCGUCACGC